UAAGCCAUGCAUGCCUUCGAAUAAGAGGAAGCAAUUCUCUCUGAAUCUGCGAACGGCUCCGCAAACCAGUUGUAAACUAUAGCAAGCAAGCCCGGGGGUUCCCUUCACGGGGGGUUCCCGGGCAACAUGGAUAACCCUGGUAAUUCUGAGGCUAAUACAAGAACGUACUCCCUGGGCAACUGGCCUUGGCUGGACGCCUGGGGGUCGUGCGAUACCUCGCGAGACUGCCAGGACUGGGCGCAUGACCGGACCGCGCUAAACACGGAUUGCCCCUUAAGCCUUCACGGGUGGCGGGGGUGGCUCGAGCGGCUCUUGCUGUGUGCUUCUGACCUAUCAACUUGAUGGCAGCGUAACGGACAUGCUAUGGUGGCGACGGGUACAGAGGAUUAGGGUUCGAUCCUGGAGAGUGGGCCUGAGAGAUUGCUCAUACUUCUAAGGAAGGCAGCAGGCGCGCAACGUUCCCCUUGGGCAAUGCUUGAGGGCGUUAGGGGACAUAUGAAUGCCUGCCCUAUGGGUGGGCAAUUCAAAUGGGUCUGUUGUAAAUAGGCUCUCGAGUAACAAUUAGAGGACAAGUC
RNAcentral lists this ribosomal RNA (575 nucleotides) under Physariida sp. RNAcentral's name for it is "SSU rRNA". It matches the Rfam family "Eukaryotic small subunit ribosomal RNA", at positions 45 to 561 of the family's 1831-position model. Lineage: Eukaryota; Evosea; Eumycetozoa; Physariida. The record is from RNAcentral.